CAGUCGCCACGGUAAUACGUAGGGUGCAAGCGUUAAUCGGAUUUACUGGGCGUAAAGCGUGCGUAGGCGGCUUCUUAAGUCGGAUGUGAAAUCCCUGAGCUUAACUUAGGAAUUGCAUUCGAUACUGGGAAGCUAGAGUAUGGGAGAGGAUGGUAGAAUUCCAGGUGUAGCGGUGAAAUGCGUAGAGAUCUGGAGGAAUACCAAUGGCGAAGGCAGCCAUCUGGCCUAAUACUGACGCUGAGGUACGAAAGCAUGGGGAGCAAACAGGAUUAGAUACCCCUGUAGUCCCUGUCUCUUAUAA
This 301-nucleotide ribosomal RNA is filed under the name uncultured bacterium. Its description in RNAcentral is "partial 16S ribosomal RNA". It matches the Rfam family "Bacterial small subunit ribosomal RNA", at positions 509 to 809 of the family's 1533-position model. The record is from RNAcentral.